GGGUGCGAUCAUACCAGCACUAAUGCACCGGAUCCCAUCAGAACUCCGCAGUUAAGUCUGCUUGUGCGAGAGUAGUACUAGGAUGGGUGACCUCCUGGGAUGUCCUCGUGUUGCACCCC
Ribosomal RNA from Gossypium raimondii (Peruvian cotton), 119 nucleotides. The record is from Rfam. NCBI's taxonomy places the organism in Eukaryota, Viridiplantae, Streptophyta, Magnoliopsida, Malvales, Malvaceae.